RNAcentral lists this long non-coding RNA (10381 nucleotides) under Coffea arabica (coffee). RNAcentral's name for it is "long non-coding RNA (CARA_LNC004839)". Lineage: Eukaryota; Viridiplantae; Streptophyta; Magnoliopsida; Gentianales; Rubiaceae. The record is from RNAcentral.
GGAAACUUGGAUAAACUUCGGGCCAUCCAAUCCGGUAUGUCUCUGCGAGGACCAUCAGUCAGUAGUUUCCAUUUUUGUGAAUCCUCAUCCAUCAGGAAAUCCAAACGUCCACCAUUGACAACAUAAAAUGCACUUUUGUCCUCCUCACAGGGGGAUCUCUGGUUCAUUAACAAGGCCUCUGCUAUUUCUGCUCUUUGUCUCCACGUCUUUGAAGCAGCUUCAGAUGCUCUUAGAGAUCUCUCUAACGCUUCACAUCUCUUCAUGUAGGCGUCAUCUUGGAAAUGUGCAGUUUCUUUAGCUGCUUCAAUAGCAGCCUUGAUAGCGUCCAACUCAACCUUAAGAGCCUUCGAAGCUGCCCUCUCUUUUUCCACUGCAUCCUUCUUAAUCUUUUCCAAAAAUGAUUUGACUUCCUCCUCUUGUUGAAGAGCUGCUUUCUUGCUUGACUCUUGAAGUUCAAAAAAGGCUUUCUCAGCUUCACUUACUUGGUGUUCAAAAGCACUACAUCGUUGAUGGGCCUGUUCCAACUCCAACUGUAACCUGUUAAUCUCAUUGCUCGAAACUAUUAAACGUGACUCUAAGUUAUUGAUGUCAUUUUGUAGCUUAAUAUUUUGAGAUUGAACGUACAAAAUAUCAUCAAGAGGAUUCAUAUCAUCUGUAAAUAAAGCCAUGGCUUUAGUUGACUGAUCACCAGCUGAUUCUGCAACAGCUAAUGCUUUCUCUAUUGCAAUUUUAGAUUGCUGCACAAUGGAAAAUAUUGUCCCCUCUGUGGCAUGCAGGAUUUGUUCUUCAAUUUGAUAUGCUGCCUCUGCAGCAGCUGUUUCAGCUGCUGAAACUUUCAAUUUUGCAUCUUCUAAUAUGUGAGAUGUUGCUUGCUGGAAAGCUAUUUCUGCCAACUUUUCAACUUGCACAGCAAGCUCAAGAGCAUCUUGUUUGGCAAGGACCAACUUAGACUCCAAAUUGAACUUCUCCCCAACAGACUGCUCCAACUUCUGAUUGAACAGAGCUUUUGCUGCCUCAAGCUCUGCAAUGGCCACCUCCUUAUCACGCAUGAUAGUGGCAACAUACUCCUGCUGCUUAGCCUCAGAACGAGCUAAUUCUUCAAGUAAUAAAUCUCUCUCUUUCUCAAUAGCAUCUUGUCUGGCUCGCGCCUCAGCUAGAGCAUUUCUAGUUGCCAGAAUUUCAUCUUCGUCAGCCCCUAUAACUUCACUCCUCCCCGAUGCAUCGCCAUCGCUAUCAUCUAGAACAUCAGCAGAAGUCCCUCUUGAAGCACCCUAUCAUUGAGAAGAAUUUUGGAGACAUAGACAAUUCACAAUUUAACAGCUGCCACUUAUUCACUUUAGCAAUCUUUAUUAGCAAUUGCUCUAUUUAAACAUGCUUCUUGAGCAAUAAGACGUUUCUUGGAAUGAAAUUUUAGAAGAUAGCCAUCCUAACAGUUCAUGCUGUCAGUUUGGUGCUUGUAAAGAUCUCUUUUCUACUAUAGAAUGCACCAAACUGAAUCUGUGACCCCGAUAACAUGUUUCAACACGUUUUGAAAUUAGCUGGCUUAUCGCGAUUCUUUAUACAUAUUAAUCAUGUAGCUCAUACACAAAUACGGGCAUAAAGCAUAAACCUUUUCUUCUCAUAAAUCAAGAAACCACAACAAAAUUAGUAGAAAGCACAAGGUCAUGACCUAUAACAGCUUACCGUUCUCGAGAGAGGAGUAGUCCUUAGCUUACGCUGCAAACCAUCUGAAUAACAUGUUUUCCUACAAAAUAUGAUGCAUUAAAUAGAUAACUCGUGUAUAUAGAAACAUCAAUUAGAAGCCAAUUAUUAUGUAUGAAGGUAAAGAGUUUUGCUUGUUCAAUACCUGUUUCUGUUCACAGGAUAAAUAUUUCUCUUAUUAAGUACAAGAUAAGAUAUGCGGCCACAAUGCACCCCAGAUGAAACUACGGGAGUGGGUUGAUUUAGCAAAGAAGCCCUCAAAUUUACUGUCUCGGACAAUGAAGCUGCACCCAUACCGUCCUGCCAUCAAAGAAAUAUUUAAUUCAUAAUUCUGGAAAGUAUCAGUUCUUGAAAAUCACCAAUAAAAUAAUAAAAAGCUAUAAGCAGCCCAUCCAAAAAAAAAAAAAAAGAAUAAAAGUGAAACUAGCGCAUUUAUGAUUUGACGGAGGAUAAAACAUUAAGGGAAUACGUUUUCCGACCGGAUGAUUUCUCCAAUCUCAAAUGCCUAACUUUUACAUCAUUUGGACAUGAGAAGAAGAUUCUGAAACUAGUAUUAAAAGAGAGAGAGAGGAAGAAGAAGAAAAUGCCAGUAAAAAGGAGGUAAAAAAGUACUACUAGUACCAGUAUAAUGACUGGUGCUUUGCUAAUUGUAGCAGAGUGCAAAGAAGCAUGGAUAGAACUCCACUUGUGGGAGAGAGGAGCAGUAGCGACUAGCGAAGCGGGAGAAGCCUCGCCCUGGCCCACGCUGGCCCCGAGGAAAAGGCAUCGUGUGCUUCCUAUAAAUCACGGGGAUUUGAACCUGUUACUUACUUUCUACUUUGGUUGACCUCCACUUAAAAAGGACUUGACAAUAAAUAGAAAGGUAAAAACAACAUAUGAACCGGAAAAGGACCCCUUUCGCUCGGAAAUGGAGCAGGAACGGUUGUCUCGGCAGUUGACGGUCAUGGACCGGAAUUAAAAAUUUUUGUGUGGUCUAAAUCACAUCUCGUAACUCGAUUUUCACGUGAUGCGUGAGAUUUACAAAAAUUCAUUUUAAAAUUACGUAGUGUGCAAAGAAAGUUAUAUCGUAUGCAAUCAAAAUUAUGCACAGUAAAAAAUGCAUACAAUCGACAGAAACGAUUGCAGUUGCAAGCGUUUGGCCCCUUGUUCCGCUCGCUUACUCGACUUUUGACUUUUGUUUUAUUUGUUCCCCACCACCAUAUGUAGUUAUGUACUACGAAAGUACGAACCCUUUUCGAACAUUGAUGCAUGAUAGCUUCUUGAAAAAACUCUCCCACCCGGACCCAUGCACGAAGCCCUACUUGUACACUGGCUCAUGGCUCAUGAGCUCAUGGCUCAUGAGCUUCUUACUAUUUCAAGAAGUGCCAGAGCUUUUUAAAUUUUUUUAUGAAAAAAGUUUUUCUAAUAGGUGAUCAGUGAGCAUUUGUUAAUACACUUAAUAGAGUUGCAAAUGAGUCGAGUCGAAUUUUGAUCUAAUUGAACUGAAUUUCGCUUUUAUAUUACCAAUCUCAACAAAUUUUCAAUGUAAAUCUCGAACACUCCCAUUAGACAAAUCCAUCUCUUAAUUUAAUUACUGCAGAUACUUUUCUGAGCACACAGACCCCUUUUUCUUUAAUCACUGCUGAUAACGUUCAGGAGGUUGUAACCAAAUUCGCUAUUAACACAAUAUGCUUUUGUAAUUAGUAGGUUAUAUAUAUUUUGUCACAGUCUUCCUCUUUCUCAUACUUUCACCGAUUAUAAGCCAAUAUUUACAUGCAAGGUUCUUAAAACUUCCGUUUUUGUCUUUUCGGAACUUCCUACGGGUGCUUAAUGCUGUCAAUACGAUCUUUUCUAUGCUUGAGGUGGACAAAUUGACCAUUCAAGAUGGCGAAUAAGGGGCAGGAAAAACCAACUGUUCCAGAAAUGUUAAUGGCUAUGAUGGCCCAAAUUUUGAAAUCGAAAAGCAACCAUUUUAAAGAUUUGUAAGGUGGACAAAGACGGCUGUUAGGGGGCAGGAACAAGCAACCAUUCCAACAAUGUCAGUGGCUAAAACGGCCCAAAUUUUGCAGUACCAACUACCAAGGAGACAAUCGAAUGCUACUACGGUCCCUUCGAUAAAAUAGAAUGCUAUUAUGUCCAACGUGUUUUGCUGCUCGAAAUCAACUCACUCAAUAAAUCUAGAAAGGAAAAAAAAAAGAAGAAGCUGCAACAUAAGAUCGGACACAUCUUACAAUAACUUCCAUCAGAGAUCGGACACAUCUUACAAAAACUUGUUGUGAUGCUUUACAUCGCUAUCCUUGACUUGAAAAGAUCGGUAGUCAAAAGAAUGGUACCAAUGCAGACUUUAGAAGGUGUACCUUUAAAAAGGGGGAAAAUUCCAAAUUAAACAAAAGAAAGAGGGUCGAAAAGCCUAGGAGGGUUCAUUACAAGAAAAGAUAUAUCCUCAUUUGCUCGCACCAAUGGCCAACAACAACUGACAAAAUUCUCACUUGCCAUUAAGCUUAAAACAAAGCUUGUGAAAAGUGGAACUUGAUGGCGCCAAAUAUUUGUAGUAGCAAUUCCAAAGUACAUAUACUGAGUAUCAUUCAACUUCUCCAUCCUGCAGCAAAAUAAUAAAGACAAGGAGAUGAACACCAUUUUCUUGCAAAUUGUGCAAAUGCUACUUGGCCUCAGCAGAGCAUCCAAGCAACUGGCUUUAUUUUUCCUCAAAUAAGGCAUAACAUGCAUGCCAUACAAAACAAACGGGAAAACAAAAAGUUGUAUCAUCCCAGCUAAUAAUAUAGUAUGAAAGGCAACUAUCACCUACCUAUGUGCACGGUCAAAAAGAGUAAAGCAUGGCGACUUAAAAUUACCAGUAGAUGAACUUCUCGCUGUAUCACAUCACAGAAAUUUCAGAAGAAAUGCAAAGCUUUGAGUCAGCCCCACCCGAUAUCACACAAUUGCUUUUCCACCAGUCAGCACAUAACACCUAAAUCAUGAAGCUCAGAGGUUAAGAAACUCAUAUUAGUUUAGACAAUAUAACAAAAAAUAGCAGAAAAUUUAGAAAAGAGCACCUUAUCCUCAUGUGAAUCAAUAACAGCCAGAGGCCACUGCAACGCAUAAUAUAGAAUGAAGCAAUCAACAUCUGAAGAUAAUAUUACUGCAAGCACAUAAAUAAAAAGUAACAGAAAACUAAAGUUUUACCGCAGUUCUCAGAUCCCACAACAUAACUUUCCCGUCAUAAGAUGCCGAUACUAAAUGAUACCAUGAAUUAUCAUGCCACUUGCAGCCAGAUAUCCAGGAAGUGUGAGACGAGAACUGAAAGGUAGGGGCCAAAGUACCUAUAAAACAACCAAAUUGAGUAUCAGACCCAAUACUUGCCGCCAGCAGUACAAAGGGUUAGAUUCCAUGAGACCUCACAAGUACAAUUGUGCUUGUAUGUGGAUGUUUCUGUCUGAGUGAGUGAGUGAGAGAGAGAGAGAGAGAGAGACUGACCAGGUUUGCGAGGAUCCCAUAUUCGAAGAAUAGGGUCUGAACCACCAGCAGCAAUGAGGGAGGAACUUUCACCUCCAACAUCAAGACAGUUAAUAACUUUCCCACAGUACUGCAAAGAAUAAAUAUAGUUAUUAUCUACUUUCAGCAUCUGGAAAGAAAUUAAAAAUUUACAAAAUGAGCAAGUUCCUAAUUCUUCACAGAAGCAUCUCAAAAGAUUAUUCUAGCAAAACUAAUUGCUGAAGCAUGGCUUACGUCCAACAACACAUGAACAGCCAGUUACAAAAAUAGCUUGCAAAAAUUAAACACCGAGUGAAACCUAUUUCAGGGAACAUGGAGAUACAUGAACAGAACACAAUUCUGGCACUUAGAAUGCAUACCAAAACAUGACCAAACUUCAGUCUGCAGCAUAAGCAACCACAGUGCAAUCUAUAUCAUAUACAUAUAAUCUAGGCCAUUUGGAGUCUUAGCUAGGUGUAGGGAAAGUCAUUUGUCAUAUUGAGUGACGAGAUUAAAUACAACAUUAUCCUCCAUCUUGGCUUCUGUCUGACACACAUUAAUGUAAUAGCUAUUACUCUCAGAUUUAUAAUUCAAUUUUAUACCAAACAAGAGAACAAGAGUUGCAUAAUCUUCACUAUGUGUUUAAUCAGAGCAUGUAUCAAGUCAGAAACAGAUGCCAAUUCACCUCCAUUUAAAGAGGAAUAUAAGCAAAAUAGUACAAAGCCCAACAGUACAUGUUCCAGAAGAUGGGGAGAGAUUUAUCUGUUAAUCCGGGCAUCUGAAUUAUUCUGCAUCCAGAUUGAAUUCAAAUUCCUAAACAUAAACUAUUGGUCCAUGCUCAUACAGAUAAAGUUGGAUAGAAGACGAAUAGAAGUCGAUGACAUAUAAAAUAUGUGCAAAGUUGCAAAUGCAACUGAAAAGAAAGGAGUAAAUAUAUAUUUAAAAAAAACAAAAGCUGUUGAUUCUUCUUACCAUGUUCAUUGAAUCUUUGCCUGUCUCAACAUCCCAUCUUCUGAUUGAAUGAUCCCAUGAUGCUGAGUAUAAUGUUUCAUGCUCAGGCCAAACCACAGAAGAUACACAUUGUGUAUGUCCCACAAGUGUAGAAAUGGGCUCCCCCUGCAUGCCAUUGACAACUAAUUUCUACAGUCUGAAAGCUUUUCCGACCAAUAAAAUGACUUCCCAUAAGUUUCAAUCACUAUGGACGACAUGUUUUAACUACUAGCUUAUGGUGCAUAGUAUAAAACCAUAAAACUUGUAGCGAAGAAUAAACGGAUGGAGCUAUGGAAACUUCUCUUUAGCUUUGAUUUCAAUGAAAGCCUCUGAUAUCUAAGAAUUUGGUGGCUGACUAGAAAACCCACUUCAUUUAAAAAAAAAAUUUCACCAGUAAGUUGCAAAGUAUUAAACAUGCUAUACCUCUGACUUAGGUUCCUCAUCUUCGAUGUCCACUUUCCUCUUCUUAACUGACAUAAAAUCACCUCCAGAAUCGGAAUCAUUCGCUUGCCACACAUUGAUCCUACAAUCCCAGGAACCUGAGCAAAUCUGAGAAAUGAAUCAGACAACUGUUACAAAUACAAACUCAAUUCCAUAUGGGAGGUGUUGUGAUAAGGGCCUCUAGGGUAGAAAAUAAUACGUUAAUACCUUAGCACCGGAAGGCUCAGCAGCAAUGCAUUGCACAGAAGCAUUAUGUCCACGUAAAGUCUGAAACGAUUGAAUCUUCUUCAGUUGGCCCUGGAACUCCUCUAUAUUGACCUUCAUCAAACACAAUUACAAAUAAGGUAUUCAGCAGAAGCCCAAGUCAAACUUCAGAAGUAAUGGCACCUUCUAAUUACCUCAAACAACCUCAAUGUCAUAUCUUUAGAAGCAGUAGCUACUACUCUCCGACCAUCACUUCCUAGAAUUGGAAAUACAGAAAAGUAAAACAGAUGGAAGAGGGGAAAAAAAAGAAUCAGUAUACAUAAUUGAAAAAUCAGAUUGAGCAAACUUCAUUCCAAAACAAUAACUCCCAACAGUACCUAGAGGAUCGAGAAUACAUACAGAAGUAAUUGCACCAGUGUGUCCCUCCAGUAGAUGUGUACAUACACCAGCAGUUUUCCAUAUCCUGCAUGUGUUUAAAUCACCUUUGAUAAACCUAGCAGUAAAUUGCCAACUAAUCUGAAGGUAAGAACAAAAAAUUUCUUUGUUAAGAUUGUUACCUUCCAAACCCAUCAUAGCAUCCAGUCAAAAUGAACCUACAGGAACAUAAAGCCCAUGGAUGUACAGCAUAAGUUACAAGAAAAGAGUAUCAGACUGAACGCCACAACAUAUAUGAAUUAAUAGCUUGUCCUGUUUUACAUAGAGCUUUGGAAGAGGACAAAUAUGUGAUGGACCAACAUCCUUUACAUGCAUACCUAGGAUUUGAGCCAUCUACUGCACUAACCCAAUCAUCAUGCAGGGAAGGAUCCUCUUUUUUUCUUGGGGCCACAGCUUUAAUGUACUCAAUUUCCAGAAUCUUCUCCUGUAAUGUGUCAAAGUGUGAAGUCAAAAGCAAGAACAUAUGAAGGUGCAAAGCAUCUCAUAGCAAGCUCGCUGCAAAAUUCUCCUGUCAUUUGAUUUAUAUCCUUUGCUACAGCAAUCUCGCAUAAAUUUUAGAAAUUCUUUAGAUGCCAAGAAGAUUGCUGUCAUGUGUUUGCGAAAUCAUCAUAUUCAGGAAGAAUCUUACAGCAGAUAUUCCCUUGGCAAGAAGAAAUUCUUCGAGGGACAUCCGGACCAGCUCUCCAUCAAUGAGAAAAUCGAAAGCUUCAAUUUUCCAAUCAGCAUUUCCUGGGAAACAAUUGGCCUAUAAGCUUAGACACAUUUAUAAUAAAUGCUUGCAAAGAGAAAACUGUUGUAUCAGUCUCCCACUGCACAAAAACUACCUGUCAAACAUUUAUUAGGCUUGGCCAAGAAGGGCCAUAACAUUUCAAAAAAUUUUAAAAAAAUCUUCAAAACAACCCUGUUCGUCUUAGCAAAUCCCAGAAAAGUUUUUUGUCGACCGCAUAGCUCAAAACACGAUCAAGUGACGCAAUUAAUUAACAAAGGAACAACCAUGAAAACAAAAGGAAGACCAUUCAAAGAAUUAGAACUAAUCAAAAGCUUACAUAAAUAUACAAAAUUGGAUGAUAUGGGCAAAAGAAAAAAGUACCAGCUUUGAGGAGGUUAUUGACGAGAGCAGAGAGACCGAAACGAGUGAGGUUGGUAGGGAUGGCAAUAGAAGUAGGAGGGGCUUUGUAUGGAGGCUUUAGCUUCGUCACGAACCGCACCCGAAUGCGCCUUGAAGCUUCUUCUGCAUCUCCAUCUAUAUCCAUAUCUUACUGGACGGAGAUCGGAGAUGUAUGGCAGAAUGAGAGAUAGGACGAAGAACGGGAGACCGGGGAGCUUGCUGGAUACCGUAUUCCUAAGAAGUUGAGGGUAGCAACAAACGGAGCGGGAGUUCAAACUCUCGGGUUCGGAGGGGCAUUCGGUGGGGAAAGUCUAGGGUUUUUAACUAUAGUAGAGCUUUUUAUUUUUUUGGUACUAACUCUAGUAGAGUUUCAACUUCAGAUAUUCGGUCCUCGUGCGUUUUCUCGUUUAUUUAAUGGGAUAAUUUUUUGAGGUUUUUCGUAGUGUCACUCAACUCUCACUAGUUUAACAGUACCAAAAGUCCUUGUCUUUUUUUUUUUUGUUGUCCGACGGAGGGGGUAUCUGGAGCAUCGGAUAAAUCGGACUCGACUAAUCCCUCACCGGCCCGGGAGGAGAGGCCCCAUCCCCCCGAACACGAUAACCAUGGGACUCGAACCCUGGCGGGCACUGGACAACAGCUUAGGAGGCAUGCUGUGACCAAUCGAGUUGCCCAUAAGGGGCACCAAAAGUCCUUGUCAAAUGACACAAAUUGAUAACAUUAUCCCUACACUCUUAAUAAAUAUUUAAUCAAAAAGCUAAAAAAAAAAAAAGAAACUUUUAAACCAAAAAAUGUAGAUGAAAAAAUUUUAAAAAAUACUUCUCCAUAUUAAGAUGGUGGUGGGACAGCAAAUGAUGUGAGUAAAUUAAACCUGGUGAAAGUCAACCAUUUAGAACGAUUUUAGUGAGUAAUUAACACCUUACAAAUUUUGUGGGAUAGUAAUAAAAAAGUCAAGAAAAUUUUUUAGAAAAUAUGUUUUAAUACAUGAUGUAAUUUAAAUUGUACUAAAAAUUUAAAUAAUUACUUCAUACAUGUAGUUUGUAAUAUAAAUCCUACUUAUAGAAAUAAACUCUUAUAAAUAAGUCACAAUUAAAAACAUUAAUAAAAAAAAUGAUCCAAUGAUCAAAUAUAUAUCUAAGAAUAUCCUAUGUUUUUUUACCUUUUAACUUUAUUUUAUUUUUUAUUGUUGUUAUGAGUUUCAUAAGAAGGAUAACAUAAGAGUAGUAUUAGAACAAAAAUUUUAUCUUCCUUGCAUUUCCUCCGAAGAGCCUAAAACAUUAAAAAAAAAUGUCAAUUUAAGAGAGGUAGGUAAAAUUUUGAAAACUUAGAGGGCACCAAGUGAUAUUAGGAUGAACGUGAGGGGAAGUUUCUAAAAUUAUCCCUUAUUUAAAUUUCGUUUUCCUGCUCGCAAUACUAAGUUAAAUAGAAAAUGCUUUUUAUUCUUUUCCCGUUUUGGAAUUAAUCAUUGUCAGUAUAGAAUUUUUGUUAUAUCUUUUACCGUUUCACAAUUAAUCUUUGUCAGUAUAUAAAUUUUAUGCAUAACACAUAACCUUCCUCUCAUGUCUCUGCAAAACGAUAAAUUCAAUCAAGGAAAGCUACUCCAAGAAUUAAAAUUAUGGAAUUAAAGCUCCAUCCUGUCUGCAUAUAUAUAUAUAUUUCUCAAGGACGUGCUCCACAAGUAUGUCACCUUCCUUUGGCUUUUCUUUAGCAAUUGACCAUACUUCAUCUAGCUUGGGCAAGUCCAAAGACAUAAACUUGGAUAUCUCAGCUUCUGAGACAUCAGUCUUUCUAGGUGGAAACUUGGGAAACUUGGAUAAACUUCGGCCAUCCAAUCCGGUAUGUCUCUGCGAGGACCAUCAGUCAGUAGUUUCCAUUUUUGUGAAUCCUCAUCCAUCAGGAAAUCCAAACGUCCACCAUUGACAACAUAAAAUGCACUUUCGUUCUCCUCACAGGGAGAUCUCUGGUUCAUUAACAAGGCCUCUGCUAUUUCUGCUCUUUGUCUCCACGUCUUUGAAGCAGCUUCAGAUGCUCUUAGAGAUCUCUCUAACGCUUCAC